Molecule: transfer RNA, 76 nt
Filed under: Ilyobacter polytropus DSM 2926
Lineage: Bacteria; Fusobacteriati; Fusobacteriota; Fusobacteriia; Fusobacteriales; Fusobacteriaceae
Description: tRNA-Ala (TGC) (tRNA-Ala-TGC-1 1 to 4)
Rfam family: tRNA
About the family: Transfer RNA (tRNA) molecules are approximately 80 nucleotides in length. Their secondary structure includes four short double-helical elements and three loops (D, anti-codon, and T loops). Further hydrogen bonds mediate the characteristic L-shaped molecular structure. tRNAs have two regions of fundamental functional importance: the anti-codon, which is responsible for specific mRNA codon recognition, and the 3' end, to which the tRNAs corresponding amino acid is attached (by aminoacyl-tRNA synthetases). tRNAs cope with the degeneracy of the genetic code in two manners: having more than one tRNA (with a specific anti-codon) for a particular amino acid; and 'wobble' base-pairing, i.e. permitting non-standard base-pairing at the 3rd anti-codon position.
Source: RNAcentral
GGGGAUAUAGCUCAGUUGGGAGAGCGUCGCACUUGCACUGCGAAGGUCAGCGGUUCGACUCCGCUUAUCUCCACCA